Melitaea cinxia (Glanville fritillary) is the source of this 579-nucleotide long non-coding RNA. RefSeq lists it as uncharacterized. NCBI's taxonomy places the organism in Eukaryota, Metazoa, Arthropoda, Insecta, Lepidoptera, Nymphalidae. The record is from RefSeq and is a predicted model, not a curated record. The transcript has 2 exons.
UCUUUCUUAAGCUUUGAUUUACUGCUAAACUAAUACAUUAGUCCGCCAGUUUUAUUUAGCCUUUUCUAAAAUAUUAAAGUAAUCCUUGUAAUUGAUCUGCCAAUGUACAUUUUUACAAAAAAGUCGAGAAAUUAAGUCCGGGAUAGUAUCGCUUUAUUUUCGAUAAAUAUACAUGCAUAUUAAAAAAAAGUUUGAAGUUAAUAAUAUUUAGAGAAAAGCAUGAAUAAGAAGAAUGUAUUAAGCUUAUUAAGCCUUUAUGUGACAAUGAUUACAUUAAAAAUUUAAUACAAAAUUAAAAAUUAUAGGUAUAUGUACACAAGAAAAGUAAAUGCUCAAAGUUUAUGUUACGGAGAGUGAUGCUCUGAAGCGAUGGUCUAAGCUGCCGUAGGACGGUCGAUAUCUCGGAGUGCGUUGGCUCCAAGGGCUUCUCCUGUUCUUGUAACUGGAGCAAGCGAUGAGACUGUUCAUAGCCGGCGGGCGUGAUUGUUCCACACUGAUACCGUAGCGACGGCUGGAAAAGGAUAGGCUAAUAAUUGUUAAUUUUAUCCAAAUAAUCUAAUAAAAACUUAUUGGUAGAAA